Non-coding RNA from Caenorhabditis elegans, 101 nucleotides. Lineage: Eukaryota; Metazoa; Nematoda; Chromadorea; Rhabditida; Rhabditidae. The record is from Ensembl.
AAAGGAUGCUUAAUACUUUGAUUUGGCGUCUACAAUUUAGUGAUUAUAAUUGAAAUUCACAAACAUUUACUUAGCUCUUGAAUGACUAAAAAACGGUAAGU